Triticum aestivum (bread wheat) is the source of this 115-nucleotide non-coding RNA. The record is from Rfam. Lineage: Eukaryota; Viridiplantae; Streptophyta; Magnoliopsida; Poales; Poaceae.
UUUGUACUCCCUCCGUUCGGAAUUACUUGUCUCGGAAAUGGAUGUAUCUAGAACUAAAAUACGUCUAGAUACAUUCAUUUCUGCGACAAGUAAUUCCGAACGGAAGGAGUAAAAU